RNAcentral lists this ribosomal RNA (246 nucleotides) under uncultured bacterium. Its description in RNAcentral is "partial 16S ribosomal RNA". It matches the Rfam family "Bacterial small subunit ribosomal RNA", at positions 238 to 476 of the family's 1533-position model. The record is from RNAcentral.
CUAUCAGCUUGUUGGUGAGGUAACGGCUCACCAAGGCUAUGACGGGUAGCUGGUCUGAGAGGACGAUCAGCCUCACUGGAACUGAGACACGGUCCAGACACCUACGGGUGGCAGCAGUCGAGAAUCAUUCACAAUGGGCGAAAGCCUGAUGGUGCAACGCCGCGUGGAGGAUGACGGCCCUAGGGUUGUAAACUCCUGUCAUCUGGGAGUAAUCCUUGUUCGUUAAUAGCGUGCAAGGUUGAUAGU